GAAGACAAUAAGCCUUCACACAAACCAGCAAACUCUUUCAGUUUCACCAGUAUAUUUCCACUUAAAGAGUUUGCUGGUUUGUGUGAGGGCUUAUUGUCAU
Non-coding RNA from Podarcis lilfordi (Lilford's wall lizard), 100 nucleotides. The record is from the annotation of a GenBank genome assembly. Lineage: Eukaryota; Metazoa; Chordata; Lepidosauria; Squamata; Lacertidae.